CCCUUAGAUGUUCUGGGCCGCACGCGCGCUACACUGUUCGACGCAGCGAGUCUUAACCUUGACCGAAAGGUUUGGGUAAUCUUCAGCAAAGUCGAACGUGAUGGGGAUCGAUCAUUGCAAUUAUUGAUCGUGAACGAGGAAUUCCUAGUAAGUGCAAGUCAUCAGCUUGCGCUGAUUACGUCCCUGCCCUUUGUACACACCGCCCGUCGCUACUACCGAUUGAAUGGUUUAGUGAGAUCUCUGGAUUGACGCUGGCUAGGGGGCGACCCUUGGCCAGACUGCUCGAGAAACUGCGCAAACUUGAUCAUUUAGAGGAAGUAAAAGUCGUAACA
Molecule: ribosomal RNA, 332 nt
Filed under: uncultured eukaryote
Lineage: Eukaryota
Description: partial 18S ribosomal RNA
Rfam family: Eukaryotic small subunit ribosomal RNA
Source: RNAcentral